Long non-coding RNA from Macaca fascicularis (crab-eating macaque), 1549 nucleotides. The record is from Ensembl. Lineage: Eukaryota; Metazoa; Chordata; Mammalia; Primates; Cercopithecidae.
UCUUGCCAACGCUCUACGGAAAGGUUGUAGUCGUUCCCACUUUUGUCAGCAACACAGGAGAAGGUCCAUUUCCUGCAUCAUUACCAACACUGGGUCUUAUCUUUCUCUCUCAACUGCCUCCCACUGCAUAGUGAGAAUGAUACCAUUUUAUUUUCCAUAUGUAUGAUUACCAGUUAGAUUUGACCAUGUUGUACAGGUCUAUCUCCCAGCCACCCCUUUGGCUUCUGCUGGUGUUUAUCACUCUCAGACUUGAUCGCCUUCACCUGACCCCUCUCAUCAGGAAUAUUCAUCUCUUGCUGCAAUAGACCCAGUUUAGAAGGUAAACUGCACAGAGCUAGGUUGAAUUUUAAAAUAACAGUAAUUUUAGGGUAAGAAAUUAGAUCUUGGGUGAUUUUUCUAUCUGAGAGACUGUGGAAGAGCUAAGAUUUUAGAAAAGCUAGGGGCAAUAUAGGAAGGUGUGAUCAUUAGACCUUCUGUGUGACUCUCCAUGUAGCUAUGACCUAAGAGUGUCUCGUUCCGAAGAAUCCCUCAGAGUGUGCAUUGAAAGGGGAGGGAGGUCCCUUCAUAAAAUAUACUUCCAGGGCCAUAAUUUUCAAUUUAGCGACUGUUGGAGGGCUUUCCUGUUCUUCCUUUGCUCCUCAACCUAGCCCUGUCUGGGAGCACAGCUGAUAAACUGACCCCAGUACAUCUAAAAGAAGCAUAGAUAUUUUUCUUUUCUUUUUUUUUUUUUUGAGAUGGAGCCUCACUCUGUUGCCCAGGCUGGAGUGCAGUAGUGCGAUCCCGGCUCACUGCAACCUCUGCCUCCUGGGUUCAAGUGAUUCUCGUGCCUCAGCCUGGGACUGAGGCUGGGACUCAUCCCUGUAGCUGGGACUACAGGCAUGUGCCACCACACCGGCUACUUUUUGUAUUUUUAGUAGAGAUGGGGUUUCACCAUGUUAGCCAGGCUGGUCUCGAACUCCUGACCUCAAGCAAUCCACCCGCCUUGGCCUCCUAAAGUGCUGGCAUUAUAGGCAUGAACCACUGCGCCCAGCCAGAUAUUUCUUUUCUUUUCUUCCUUUCUUUUUUUUUUUUGUUUGAGAUGGAGUUUCACUCCUAUUGCCCAGGCUGGAGUGCAAUGGUGUGAUCUCAGCUCACCGCAGUCUCCACCUCGCAGGUUCAAGCGAUUCUCCUGCCUCAGCCUUCCAGGUAGCUGGGAUUAUGGGCACCCACUACCACAUCUGACUAAUUUUUGUAUUUUUAGUAGAGACGGGGUUUCUCCAUGUUGGUCAGACUGGUCUUGAACUCCCAACCUCAGGUAAUCUGCCCGCCUCGGCCUCCCGAAGUGUUGUGAUUACAGGCGUGAGCCACUGCGCCUAGCCAGAUAUUUCUUUAUACCAGUAAUACACAGUUGUUGUAAAAAGAUUAGGAAAUAGGCCAGUAUAGUGGGGCAUGUCUGUAGUCCCAGUUAUGCAGGAGGAUUGCUUGAGCCCAGGAGUUCAAGGCCAGCAUGGGCAACAUAGAGAUAACCCCUCUCCACUCCCCCAUCUCCAUUGCGGAAAAAAAAAAAAAA